GACGAACGCUGGCGGCGUGCCUAAUACAUGCAAGUAGAACGCACAGGAUGCACCGUAGUUUACUACACCGUAUUCUGUGAGUUGCGAACGGGUGAGUAACGCGUAGGUAACCUGCCUGGUAGCGGGGGAUAACUAUUGGGAACGAUAGCUAGUACCGCAUAAGAACAUUUACUGCAUGGUAGAUGUUUAAAAGGUGCAAAUGCAUCACUACCAGAUGGACCUGCGUUGUAUUAGCUAGUAGGUGAGGUAACGGCUCACCUAGGCGACGAUACAUAGCCGACCUGAGAGGGUGAUCGGCCACACUGGGACUGAGACACGGCCCAGACUCCUACGGGAGGCAGCAGUAGGGAAUCUUCGGCAAUGGGGGGAACCCUGACCGAGCAACGCCGCGUGAGUGAAGAAGGUUUUCGGAUCGUAAAGCUCUGUUGUUAAGGAAGAACGAGUGUGAGAAUGGAAAGUUCAUACUGUGACGGUACUUAACCAGAAAGGGACGGCUAACUACGUGCCAGCAGCCGCGGUAAUACGUAGGUCCCGAGCGUUGUCCGGAUUUAUUGGGCGUAAAGCGAGCGCAGGCGGUUAGAUAAGUCUGAAGUUAAAGGCAGUGGCUCAACCAUUGUAGGCUUUGGAAACUGUUUAACUUGAGUGCAGAAGGGGAGAGUGGAAUUCCAUGUGUAGCGGUGAAAUGCGUAGAUAUAUGGAGGAACACCGGUGGCGAAAGCGGCUCUCUGGUCUGUAACUGACGCUGAGGCUCGAAAGCGUGGGGAGCGAACAGG
Molecule: ribosomal RNA, 773 nt
Filed under: uncultured Streptococcus sp.
Lineage: Bacteria; Bacillati; Bacillota; Bacilli; Lactobacillales; Streptococcaceae
Description: bacterial SSU rRNA
Rfam family: Bacterial small subunit ribosomal RNA
Source: RNAcentral